Long non-coding RNA from Ornithorhynchus anatinus (platypus), 942 nucleotides. RefSeq lists it as uncharacterized. The record is from RefSeq and is a predicted model, not a curated record. NCBI's taxonomy places the organism in Eukaryota, Metazoa, Chordata, Mammalia, Monotremata, Ornithorhynchidae. The transcript has 2 exons.
AGAGACAUAUUCCCGGUCCGUAACAAGCUUACAGCCUAGAGGGGACCGAAAAAUUUUCCCUUGCCACUGCUGCCCUCAUAAGUGAUGAAUGUUGCAGGUAACCUACUGGUUUAAAUAGUGGAAGUUAAAAAAAAAAGAAAUCAUGCCCAAACAAAUGACUAUUACGCGCAACUUUAGUACCAAAGUGGACCCUACGGUAAGAUCUGGAAACAGAGGAGCCAAGACUUCUAUAAACAUUUCUACCACACACGUAAUCGUGACCCUCGGAGAUGAGGGUAGAUUGCAUAAACGGCGAUAUAAAUUCACAUCACGUUCCACUUGUGGAUGUCACUACGCCCCGCCCAUACCGAUGGCAUUAUGGUUUCCGUAGUAACCGGAGAAACAAAAAGUAGAAAGACUAAAAAUGCACAAAAGGCAAAUAAAAGAAGAUAAAGAUGUGCCAUAAACACAGUAUGCGAUGCUAUUCGGUUCAACAGAAUUUGCUUUCGCACAUCACUUGGGUGAGGCAAUAUAUCUAGAAAAGCAAAAUGUUCCGAGCCAGAUAAAAGCGCCCCAAAUUAAAGCUGCCUCAGUCCCUGUUUGACUCUCCAAGUGGUUUUCACCUGACUUUCUCCCGUCCCAGGAAAUGAGAUUGAUGUCUUUGAGGAAGAACAGGGCCGGCUUACGUUCAAGGAGACCGUCUGAGGUAUCGCUGCCGUAUCCAGUGCUCUGUACACGACAGGGUGCACUUGCAACUGAAGGCGGUUGUGUGCUUUCAACCGAAAGUAUAUCAUCGUCUGAAUAUUUGGGAUGCAGUCUAACCCGAGGGUGACUUGGCAGAAUGAAGACUGGAUUGAAUCAGACAUCUUCUUCUCAAACACUAAUGGAAAAGUAUACAGGUCGAAAGGGAGUCUAUCGAGUGCUAUAACGAUUUUAUCAUCAAAGAUUUUUUGAGCCCCGGUA